AGCAGCGAGUCAGUCACCCUGGACCUGCUGACCUACGCUGACCUGGAAGCCCUGAGGAUGCGAAAGGUGGGGGCGCGACCCGGCCCCCCGGCCCCCCGCUCCGCCCUGCUCAGCUCCAAGCGCUACCUCAUCCUCGUCUACUCGGUGGAGUUCGACAGGUGACUGGGAAGAGGGCCUGGGGGUCGGGCUUAGGGGGAACGGGGCCUGGGUCUGCCGGAGCCCCGAGCGACGGCGUCACCCGUUCCUCCGGCCUCCAGGAUCCACUACCCACUGCCCCUGCCCUACCUGGGCAAGCCGGACCCCGCGGCCCUGCAGGGAGUCAUCCGGGCGCUCAGGGAGGAGCUGGCCCAGUUCAAGGCGGGGACCGGCCGCGACGGGGAGAUCCGGCGGCUGCGGGAGCAGCUGUCCCAGGCGGCGGCGGAGAAGCGGGAGCUGGAGUCGGCGCUGAGCCGGGCCCAGGCGGCGGAGGCCCGGGUGGCAGAGGCCCGGCUGGAGGAGGUGCGGGGCGGGCGGGGGACCCCGCGGGAGGUGGCGGCGUUGAGGCAGCUGGUGCGCAGCCUGGAGGAGGAGCUGCUGCGCGAGCGGAGCCAGCACCAGCGUGCGGCCGGGCGCCGCGGACAGGAGUGCAGGCAGCUGGCCCGGGAGCUGGAGGAGGUCAAGGCCUCGGAGAGAAACCUGCGCAUUCGGCUCAAGACGGUGUCCAGCGAGCUGGCCUUGUACAAGCAAGGGAGGAGGAUCCCCGGGAGACCGAGCCCGUCCCCCCCACCCCGCACGGAGCGACCGUCUUCUUGGAGCCGGGCCGACCGCUCAUCCUCCCGCGAGAGCCGUCCCCGCAGCCGGGGCCGCCCGUCCCCCUCCCCCACAGGUUUGUAGACCCGCAGGAGGGGUGAUCUCUGGAGUACAGACUCCUCCCACCCCCUCCCCCUGGGCACCCAGGGUAGCGGCCCCGGAGGAACGGGGUAGGAUCUUGCACGGGAUUCAUCUGAGACCCCUCCCGCUCCCGAUCCGUAGGUGGCCGAGCCCCCCGCUUCGACCCCACCGCCUUUGUGCAGGCCCGGCAGCAGAAGCAGAAGGAGGUCGCCCGCAACAAGUGAGGGACCCCCAGCCCCUGCCUUCCCCACCCCUGGCUCCCAACCCAAGGGGCCCUCCCUGUCCCCCCCCCCCCCCACCAGCCUGUGGUGUUCCCUCCUUGGGGUUGGGGGAGAAACGGGCUGGGGGUUGGGGGAGAAACGGGCUGACUCUUGCUCCCCGACCCCCAGCUGACGCUCCGCUCCUGUUUCCCCUCAGCCAGCGUAAACUGCGUCUCGGCUCAGGGGACCCUCCCUCCGGGGGCCGGGCCAGGGGCCGCCCCCCUUCCCGGGCCUCCGGCACCGCGCUGGCCCGGGCAGGUGCCACAGGGAAGAGCCGGACCCGCAGCUCCUCAGUGGAGAGUUUCCGGAGUCAGCGUUCGUCCUUCAGCUCCGGCAGUGAGUUGGAGGAUUUUUCCGAGCCCCUGCUGCCCCGCAGUGGCCGCCGGUGCCUGAGGAAGAGCAGACCGCCCUUGCGGGCCUCAACCUGGAACAGCCCUGUCGGGGUGAGGCCCCUUGCCCCUACUCGCCUUGUCCUGGAACAGCCCUGGGCAUGGCGACCGCGCUCCCUCCUCACCCUCGUCUCGGAACAGCCCUAGUGGAAUGACCCCCCUCCCCCCCAGCGCCCCGUGGACCUCAUCCUGGAACAACCUCGUGCAGGGGUUGCCUUCCUCCCUUCUUCUGUGGUUCAUAUUCUGGGUGGUGUGGUGGGGGACAGCGGGCCAGGAACAGAGGCUUUUAAGGCAGGGAGGGGCUGGUUCGGAGCCGGUGGCGCUGGCAAAGAGCAGCGGGGACCCCGACUCCUCUUCUCCCAGGUGCCCCCUCCUACUGGCAGCCGCCAAAAACGCCUGGUCAGCAGCACCCCCAGCCCCGGAGGUCCUGGCAAAGGUGAGGGGGCCGGGCGGGGAGACCCCAGUGCCCCUACCAGAUCCGAUCCCACCUCGGUCCGCGCCCCCAGCCCGCACUGCCCGAGGCUGAGGCCACCGGGACCGUCCCGUCUCCCCACCAGAGAAUGAGCUGUCGGAGCCGGCGGCCCAGCUGUCCGACAUCGACGCGCGGCUGCAGGCGCUGCAGGAGUACAUGACCCGGCUGGACACGAGGACGUGACCCGGAGCCCGGCGGCCGCAGAGAGGCCCGGGAGACGGCCGGGGGCCGGGGCCGGUGUCCGUCAGGGGGUUGUGUGUGUGUUUGUGUCCGUCUUUCUGCCUGCCUGUGGGCAUUUGUAAAUAAAACCGUUCGUUCACUAAUGCAAGAAACCUCUUGCAGCGACGCGCUGAGCCGAGCAGAGUGGGGUGAAGGGUGGGACGGAGCCAGUGGGGCUGCUGCCGUGCUCUGGCUGCUAAGGGGGAGGGGCGAGCCGCGACCGCUUGACUGGCCCACCCCGGCCCCCGCUGGGCCGUUCCUCCUUGCCACCCACUGCAGCUUUCAGGACCAGGGGUCGAAAAAGUACAUUUCCUCCAGGACGCCUUCCUUGACCAAGUCCUCAUUUCCUGUUCUCCCACUCCCUUCUGCAUCACCCUUGCACGUGGAUUAGUACCCUUUAUUCACCCCUCCCUCAGGCCCACAGCGCUUACCUACAUAACCCAUCACGCAGUAAUCGUAUCUGUUACACGUUCUCUGUGCCACAAAAUGUACUGAGCACUGGGGGAAGGCAGCAGCAUGGCUUAUUGGAUAGAUCAAGGGCCUGGGAGUAAGAAAGUCAUGGGUUCUGAUCCUGUCUCUGCCACUUAUCUGCUGUGUGACCUUGGGCAGGUCAUUUCACUUCUCAUGUGCCUCAGUUACUUCAUCUGUAAAAUGGGGAUUGAGACUGUGAGCCCCACAUGGGACAGGGACUGCGUCCAACCCAAGUUGCUGGUAUUGACCCCAGUGCUUAGUACAGUGCUCGGCACAUAGUAAGCGCUUAACAAAAACCAUCCUUAUCAUUACAAGAUCAUCGGAUUGGACACAGUUCCUGCCCCACGAAGGGCUCCAGGUCUCAAUCCCCGUUUCACAAAGAGGGAACUGAGGCACAGAGAAGCUAAGUGAUUUGUCACACAUCGGACAAAUGGAUCUGGGAUUAGACCCCAGGUCCUUCUGAUUCCCAGCCCCCUACUCUAUCGGCUGGGCCACGCUACUCUAU
RNAcentral lists this long non-coding RNA (3186 nucleotides) under Ornithorhynchus anatinus (platypus). RNAcentral's name for it is "lncRNA (ENSOANG00000048938.1)". The record is from RNAcentral. Lineage: Eukaryota; Metazoa; Chordata; Mammalia; Monotremata; Ornithorhynchidae.